This 491-nucleotide ribosomal RNA is filed under the name uncultured bacterium. Its description in RNAcentral is "partial 16S ribosomal RNA". It matches the Rfam family "Bacterial small subunit ribosomal RNA", at positions 29 to 506 of the family's 1533-position model. The record is from RNAcentral.
AGUGAACGCUGGCGGUAGGCCUAACACAUGCAAGUCGAACGGCAGCACAGUAAGAGCUUGCUCUUACGGGUGGCGAGUGGCGGACGGGUGAGGAAUACAUCGGAAUCUACUUUUUCGUGGGGGAUAACGUAGGGAAACUUACGCUAAUACCGCAUACGACCUACGGGUGAAAGCAGGGGAUCUUCGGACCUUGCGCGAUUGAAUGAGCCGAAGUCGGAUUAGCUAGUUGGCGGGGUAAAGGCCCACCAAGGCGACGAUCCGUAGCUGGUCUGAGAGGAUGAUCAGCCACACUGGAACUGAGACACGGUCCAGACUCCUACGGGAGGCAGCAGUGGGGAAUAUUGGACAAUGGGCGCAAGCCUAAUCCAGCCAUACCGCGUGGGUGAAGAAGGCCUUCGGGUUGUAAAGCCCUUUUGUUGGGAAAGAAAAGCAGCAGGUUAAUACCCCGCUGUUCUGACGGUACCCAAAGAAUAAGCACCGGCUAACUUCGU